RNAcentral lists this ribosomal RNA (531 nucleotides) under Staphylococcus epidermidis. RNAcentral's name for it is "bacterial SSU rRNA". It matches the Rfam family "Bacterial small subunit ribosomal RNA", at positions 262 to 785 of the family's 1533-position model. Lineage: Bacteria; Bacillati; Bacillota; Bacilli; Caryophanales; Staphylococcaceae. The record is from RNAcentral.
GGCUUACCAAGGCAACGAUGCGUAGCCGACCUGAGAGGGUGAUCGGCCACACUGGAACUGAGACACGGUCCAGACUCCUACGGGAGGCAGCAGUAGGGAAUCUUCCGCAAUGGGCGAAAGCCUGACGGAGCAACGCCGCGUGAGUGAUGAAGGUCUUCGGAUCGUAAAACUCUGUUAUUAGGGAAGAACAAAUGUGUAAGUAACUAUGCACGUCUUGACGGUACCUAAUCAGAAAGCCACGGCUAACUACGUGCCAGCAGCCGCGGUAAUACGUAGGUGGCAAGCGUUAUCCGGAAUUAUUGGGCGUAAAGCGCGCGUAGGCGGUUUUUUAAGUCUGAUGUGAAAGCCCACGGCUCAACCGUGGAGGGUCAUUGGAAACUGGAAAACUUGAGUGCAGAAGAGGAAAGUGGAAUUCCAUGUGUAGCGGUGAAAUGCGCAGAGAUAUGGAGGAACACCAGUGGCGAAGGCGACUUUCUGGUCUGUAACUGACGCUGAUGUGCGAAAGCGUGGGGAUCAAACAGGAUUAGAUAC